Unclassified non-coding RNA from Cyanistes caeruleus (blue tit), 342 nucleotides. Its record names the gene 7SK. It matches the Rfam family "7SK RNA". Rfam says of the family: 7SK was discovered as an abundant small nuclear RNA in the mid-70s but a possible function has only recently been suggested. Two independent studies have found that 7SK RNA binds the CDK9/cyclin T complex (known as elongation factor P-TEFb). The record is from Ensembl. Lineage: Eukaryota; Metazoa; Chordata; Aves; Passeriformes; Paridae.
CGAUGUGAGGGCCAUCAGCCUGUGACACCCAUCACCACACUGAUCUCCAGGCUUGACUCAGCCCAUGUGGCUGCCCAAGCCCAGGUCCCCUUCCUCACCCAGCGCUCCACAUGCAUCCCUCCCAAAGCUGCUGGGGCACAGAGGGCGACCUCCCCGAUACAGACAGUGCAUUUUAUCACUCAAGGCUAUUUGGCAACUGUGCUCCCUGCUAAAACUUUCAAACCUGCCCAUGGUACUAGGGUUACCUUUCUAGGGCUUCCCCGGAAGUCAUAAUUAAAAUUUUGGUAAAAGAAGUCUGAAAUAGGGUGUAAAAAUGGGAGGCAUGCAUGUGGGGCAUUUUUU